This 391-nucleotide unclassified non-coding RNA is filed under the name soil metagenome. RNAcentral describes it as "partial contains 5.8S ribosomal RNA, internal transcribed spacer 2, and large subunit ribosomal RNA". The stretch from base 1 to 122 matches the Rfam family "5.8S ribosomal RNA", at positions 35 to 154 of the family's 154-position model. The record is from RNAcentral.
GAUGAAGAACGCAGCGAAAUGCGAUACUUGGUGUGAAUUGCAGAAUCCCGUGAACCUUCGAGUCUUUGAACGCAAGUUGCGCCCGAAGCCAUUAGGCCGAGGGCACGCCUGCCUGGGCGUCACACGUCGUUGCCCCCCCAUCUACUCCUUCGGGAUUGCGGGGGGCGGAUGAUGGCCUCUCGUGCGCCUCGUCGCGCGGUUGGCCUAAAUGCCAAGUCCUCGGCGACGCACGCCACGACAAUCGGUGGUUGCGAAACCUCGGUUGCCUGUCGUGUGCGGUCGUCGCGCAUCGAGGGCUCGAAAAAAUUGCCGGGCUUCGGCUCGACUUUCAACGCGACCCCAGGUCAGGCGGGGUUACCCGCUGAAUUUAAGCAUAUCAAUAAGCGGAGGA